AGGUUUUGCACAACAAGAGGAUCCCUGUAGUAAAGGUACAGUGGCAACACAACACUCCAGAAGAGACGACGUAGGAGUUGGAGAGCGAGAUGAGAGAGAAGUGUCCAAACUUAUUCAUGACAAAUUUGGGGGGACCAAAUUUUUUGAGGUGGGGGGAUGUAACACCUCGAAAACCUUUACACUUAAUUUGUAAUGCGAACCCCAAUUUAUUCAAGCCCUAAGGCCACGUAAACUCU
Molecule: long non-coding RNA, 236 nt
Filed under: Carica papaya (papaya)
Lineage: Eukaryota; Viridiplantae; Streptophyta; Magnoliopsida; Brassicales; Caricaceae
Description: long non-coding RNA (CPAP_LNC013732)
Source: RNAcentral